Molecule: ribosomal RNA, 438 nt
Filed under: uncultured bacterium
Lineage: Bacteria
Description: bacterial SSU rRNA
Rfam family: Bacterial small subunit ribosomal RNA
Source: RNAcentral
GCUAAACGCGAAGAACCUUACCAAGGCUUGACAUGGAUUUCUAAGCACGUGAAAGCGUGUGACCCUUCGGGGGACUUCCACAGGUGCUGCAUGGCCGUCGUCAGCUCGUGUCGUGAGAUGUUGGGUUAAGUCCCGCAACGAGCGCAACCCUUGUGAACAGUUGCCAGCGCGUCAUGGCGGGAACUCUGUUCAGACUGCCCAGAUCAACUGGGAGGAAGGUGGGGACGACGUCAGGUCAGUAUGGCCCUUACGCCUUGGGCUGCACACGUACUACAAUGCCCAGCACAAUGAGAACCGAUGCCGCGAGGUGGAGGAAAUCUGCAAAACUGGGCUCAGUUCGGAUUGGAGGCUGCAACUCGCCUCCAUGAAGUUGGAAUCGCUAGUAAUGGGGCAUCAUCUACGGCCCCGUGAAUACGUUCCCGGGUCUUGUACACACCG